RNAcentral lists this ribosomal RNA (497 nucleotides) under uncultured bacterium. Its description in RNAcentral is "partial 16S ribosomal RNA". It matches the Rfam family "Bacterial small subunit ribosomal RNA", at positions 28 to 507 of the family's 1533-position model. The record is from RNAcentral.
GAUGAACGCUGGCGGCGUGCCUAAUACAUGCAAGUCGAGCGAACGGACGAGAAGCUUGCUUCUCUGAUGUUAGCGGCGGACGGGUGAGUAACACGUGGAUAACCUAUCUAUAAGACUGGGAUAACUUCGGGAAACCGGAGCUAAUACCGGAUGAUAUUUUGAACCGCAUGGUUCAAAAGUGAAAGACGGUCUUGCUGUCACUUAUAGAUGGAUCCGCGCUGCAUUAGCUAGUUGGUAAGGUAACGGCUUACCAAGGCAACGAUGCAUAGCCGACCUGAGAGGGUGAUCGGCCACACUGGAACUGAGACACGGUCCAGACUCCUACGGGAGGCAGCAGUAGGGAAUCUUCCGCAAUGGGCGAAAGCCUGACGGAGCAACGCCGCGUGAGUGAUGAAGGUCUUCGGAUCGUAAAACUCUGUUAUUAGGGAAGAACAUAUGUGUAAGUAACUGUGCACAUCCUGACGGUACCUAAUCAGAAAGCCACGGCUAACUACGUG